GACCACUCUGGUGGACUAGUGGGUAGAGCGUUCGCCUCAGAGGCGGGAAGUCACCGGUUCGAACCCCGGCCAAGUCA
This is a non-coding RNA of Potamilus streckersoni, 77 nucleotides long. The record is from the annotation of a GenBank genome assembly. Lineage: Eukaryota; Metazoa; Mollusca; Bivalvia; Unionida; Unionidae.